Molecule: long non-coding RNA, 1195 nt
Organism: Mus musculus (house mouse)
Lineage: Eukaryota; Metazoa; Chordata; Mammalia; Rodentia; Muridae
Product: predicted gene, 32344
Exons: 4
Source: RefSeq, a predicted model, not a curated record
GUGCAGUGUCGAAGUCAUACAGAGGCAAGGGGUGGUGACUUCUGUUGCCACAGGAAAGAGGUAUAUAGUUCACACAUAUGGCACUGUAUCCACUGGACAUCUGAGGUUCUAUCAGGCCACUAGGAGACUAGAAAUCAACAUUAUGAAGCUUCCACUGAAGAUAGAGACAAGUGAUGUCAUCCAAGAAGUAAAUCACCAGUCAAGGUGACAUUGAAGGCUAUCCAUCAUAUUUUAUAACCCAAAUGCUGCCAUUGGGUACAUAUUUUCUGUUUUGGGCAAAGACAACCCGGAUUGGGUUUCUUUGUAAGAAAAGCAAUCUUCACACGCUUUGAACGCAAGUGGCUGACUUGUAAGGAACCCCUGACCUCUGCCUUACUGGAGAGCGCAUCCUGCUUUCAGAGGACAAUUUACUCCUCCUGAUAACCUAGAAACUUUCACUGAAUUGUCUUCAACUCAGCUAACUUGCUAGCCAGUGCCUGCCCACCACCCUGCCACCUCGUCUGCCACAUGCAAAAGUGGCAGUCCCUAAUGGCUGAUCACUGUGGGUUUUUCCACACAUAGAGGAUAUCCUUUGGUGCUCAGCAAAGCAGAAGAAAACAGGCUCAUUUGCUAAGACUCUCCACAUGAGUAUGUCCUGUUGGACAAUAUCUUCCCAGAUGUCAGUGUACAGAUGAAUUCUUUAAACAUUCAUUCCAAUGAACAUGCAGCCAGAACAGCAGUGUGGCUCCUUGGAGGGAUCAGAUAAGUAAUGAAAACAAACUUUCAGGAUUUGUACUCUAUUUAAAAAGAGAUAUCUUACUGUGCGCUGAAUCUUGAGAUUUAUCUGUCUAAAGGUUUGUAUCCACACCAUCUCCAAAUGUCUUCAGACACAUAUGGUACAGUCUUCCAGCCAUUCAAAACUAUAAUUUCUGCAUAUGGCCAUGUUCUUAUAUGUAUGAAUAUUGAUGUGAGGUACCUUCCUCCAUUGAUCUCUUAUUAUUUACUAGGUGUGGUUUGGCUUAGAUCCAUAGUUUACAUAUUCAAGAAGUCUAGCUGGCUGGCUUGUCCCAGAAUCUAGAUUCUCUAUCAAACAAAUGUUGUAAUGGAAGUCUGACGAUUACUUCUAGUUGGAUUUAAUGUAGAUGCUAGGGAUUUGAAUUCUGGGAAAGUGCUUUAUCUACUUAGCUUCCUCUCUAAAUCCCAGUCUCAUUUGAAG